UAGGGAAUCUUCCACAAUGGACGCAAGUCUGAUGGAGCAACGCCGCGUGAGUGAAGAAGGUUUUCGGACCGUAAAGCUCUGUUGUUGGUGAAGAAGGAUAGAGGUAGUAACUGGCCUUUAUUUGACGGUAAUCAACCAGAAAGUCACGGCUAACUACGUGCCAGCAGCCGCGGUAAUACGUAGGUGGCAAGCGUUGUCCGGAUUUAUUGGGCGUAAAGCGAGCGCAGGCGGAAGAAUAAGUCUGAUGUGAAAGCCCUCGGCUUAACCGAGGAAUUGCAUCGGAAACUGUUUUCUUGAGUGCAGAAGAGGAGAGUAGAACUCCAUGUGUAGCGGUGGAAUGCGUAGAUAUAUGGAAGAAUACCAGUGGCGAAGGCGGCUCUCUGGUCUGCAACUGACGCUGAGGCUCGAAAGCAUGGGUAGCGAACAGGAUUAGAUACCCUGGUAGUCCAUGCCGUAAACGAUGAGUGCUAAGUGUUGGGAGGCUUCCGCCUCUCAGUGCUGCAGCUAACGCAUUAAGCACUCCGCCUGGGGGAGUACGACCGCAAGGUUGAAGC
Molecule: ribosomal RNA, 554 nt
Filed under: uncultured bacterium
Lineage: Bacteria
Description: partial 16S ribosomal RNA
Rfam family: Bacterial small subunit ribosomal RNA
Source: RNAcentral